Molecule: small nucleolar RNA, 112 nt
Filed under: Ochotona princeps (American pika)
Lineage: Eukaryota; Metazoa; Chordata; Mammalia; Lagomorpha; Ochotonidae
Description: Small nucleolar RNA SNORA74 (ENSOPRG00000024102.1)
Source: RNAcentral
CCCAGGUGUGGGCAACUGCCUAGGAUACAUUGUACCUAGGCAAGUGUUACACUCCUGGGAAAAAAGCAGCUAAUAGCUGGUGGGCAUUCUGGGCCUGGUUAAUGCCAACUCU